RNAcentral lists this long non-coding RNA (1062 nucleotides) under Nicotiana benthamiana. RNAcentral describes it as "long non-coding RNA (NBEN_LNC002626)". Lineage: Eukaryota; Viridiplantae; Streptophyta; Magnoliopsida; Solanales; Solanaceae. The record is from RNAcentral.
UUUCAUUCAGACCCAUGGUAGAAAGUUGAAGAAACCAGAAGUAGAAAAAACCUGCAUUUUUUUGUAUGAAAGGACAGAAUAAACAUUCUCAAAUACCAUUGCAUGCUAUAAGCUAGAUGCCACAAUGUCCCAAUUCCUAUGAACAUAAUUGCUUUUUUGCAAGAAGAUGACUUUUGCAUUAAAGAAAGUCUUGUAAAGCUAUCGGUCAAAGAUAAUGGAGGAGACAGGAACAAACAAAUGCAAUCCAAGGAAAGUACCUGGUACUUUAGAAAAUAAUACAACAUAUAUGAUUCUCUAUAAAUAUAACCUAAUCAUGGAUUCACAAGAAAUUAACUAACAGGCCCUAUCUGCACUAAAAUCAUUUUCCAAAACGCUAGUCAAUUUAGCAGCAACAUCGCCAAACCAAAGUCAUAUAUCCACACCCUCUUCUUUUAUUAUUGCUUUCUUUUUUGAGUUAAAACCAAGACUAUCAAUAGUUUAUAUCUCUAGUUCAAAUUAAACAAAAUUCUUGCAUGAACCCCUGUAAGAAAGACAACAACAAGCACAAGUUUUGACCAACAAGACAAACAAUAAAUCUGUCAUACUCAUAAUUGAUCCACUAGGAGCACACAGUAAUUUCUCCUAAUUCUAUUGAGCCUAGACUUCAUUAAGAAUCAGAGUAAAAGCUUCAAUAUAAUUAGAGUAUAUGGGUAAAAAUAAAGGAAGAACAUAUUCAAUGAACUUAGGUACGACUUUACAGUGUAUGGUUAGGGGCUUUAUUUGUUAACUGAGUACCUGGACUUGGGCAUAGUAGCUGGAGCAGUGGAUUUGCAAGCCUCGAGUUCAAGAGCUAUAUUAUCAAAUCAACAAAGCAUUUCAUGGGAAACAAAGAGGAUGAGAAUAAUAAACUGUCAGUCACGUAGCAGAAUUACACUACUCAUGAAAAAAAAUUAUUAAGCCACUUUUGGGGUUAAUAAGUAAGAGUAUGGAUAUAGCUCCUUGUCACCAUUGUGGAUACUGAGACAAGAGGGGUUGCUAUGAUGGUAAGCAACCCCCACUUCCAACCAAGAGGUUGUGAGUUCG